RNAcentral lists this long non-coding RNA (2591 nucleotides) under Sarcophilus harrisii (Tasmanian devil). Its description in RNAcentral is "lncRNA (ENSSHAG00000026601.1)". Lineage: Eukaryota; Metazoa; Chordata; Mammalia; Dasyuromorphia; Dasyuridae. The record is from RNAcentral.
CCCGGGCGCGCCCCCGCGGCUUUGCUCCCUCCCGUCCGAGCCUCCGGGCCCCUGCGGGACCGGGGCCGGCUCAGCACAGGCAAUGAAUCUGCUUCCUGUCCUGGCCGCCCCCGGCACGUGCUUGGGCCCGGCCUGGGGUGGGAGGGGGCUCUUCCGCCCAGGGUCAGGGCCAGAGGGGAAGGGGGGGCAGAGGCUGGGGGGGACCGGAAGGCCCCCAGGGAGCCCCUAGUCCGGGCGCUGGCCUGUCCGUGAGAACGGGGAGGGGGAGGGGAGAGCAGCCCCUGCCCCCCCCGGAGCUCGGAGGCCUCGCCGGGGACAGAGGCACGAGGGGCCUGGGAGCCCGGAGAGACCCCGGGGCUGAGGGAGACCUGAUUCAGGGCGGGCUUCCAGGAGGAGGCGAUGUCUGAGGGAACCCAGGCUCCUUCCCCGCCCAGCGCGACACUUCCAGGAACAUCUUCAUGCGCAUGCGCUGCUCGGACUUUUCCCAUUUUACAGAGAAAGCAACUGAGGCAGACGGGGCUCCCCCCCCUGGAAGAGGGCCCGCAUACAAGAGGCGCUUAAUUUGUGUUUCUGGAAAGAAGAGAGAGGAGGGCUGCUGGGAGGCAAGCAGCCCAAAGGGAAGCCCAAGAGCAGGGGGGGCCGGGAGCCUGGUUCUUGGCUGCCCGGCUCUGGCACCUCCUCCUGGAAUGAAGGAAAUCAAGGGCAUCUCUGCCCCCAGAGUAUUUCCUGCCCAAAAAGGACAGCCCGCCGGCUCCGGGAAGAAUCUGGGCUUGUUGGGCGGUUCCCUGGUGAGAGGCCUCUUUCUCUCCAAAACAAGGCCCGAGUGGGGACAGCGGGGGCCGGGCGGCACCGGCGGCGCUGGCUGCUCACACAAUUGAUUCUCUUCAGCCUCCGCUGUCCCCGCUUGACCCCAAUGACUCAGGGAGUGGCUACAAGACGUGGGGAGAGACACCGACUUUAGCAACCAAGGGAAGGCCCGAGGAAGGCUGGGACCUCUACAACCAGCUAUCCCCAGAGGGAAGAGGGCCCCCAGAGGGGAAGACACUGACCCCAGAGCCCAGGGUCACUUCCCCAUCCUACAAAUCAGUGCCCGGGAUUUCAAGGUCACAAGGAAGUGAGGCAAGUGCAGAACAAAAAUGAAGGCUGGACCAGGGCAAAAGAGAGGGCAGUGACAAGGGCAGGUGGGAGGAUGGCAACAGGGAGAGGGGCUCAGUGUGAGUCUGCUUGUAGGUUUUUGGCCACAAAGGGCCCAAAGCAGGGAUGGGAAGGUGAUCCCCAAGAGAAGCAAGGAAAAAGCAAAGGAGCACCUGGCUGCCCUGGGUGAAUCCCAGGCACCGGACCCAGAGGAUCCAGGGGUCCCGAAAGAACCAGCCGAUGUGACUGCUCAGCCCCGGCCAGGAAUAUCUGAAGGACUGUGGAAAAUGGAGGAGGUAUCAAGGUACCAAUGAUCUGGCAAAAGGCAAGGAUGGUCCUAUCAACAAAGGAAGGAGAAAAAGUCAGGGGACUAAAGAUCAGGGACCAAGGCUGUGAUUCUUGAGAUUUUAGGACGUUUCAUGAAAGAAGGCAAAAAAAAGUGCGGAUCCCAAGGAUGGCAUCCUACAGACUGGGAAAGGCCCCCCGGGAGCUGUUUGCUCCGGUGAUGGAGCGGCUACAAGGGAAGGUCAAGGGAGUGCUCCACAGAUGGUCAACAGAGAUUUCUGCAAAGUAAUUUGAUAAAGGUCUUGUGCUGUUCUUGUGAAAAGGACAGAGGUAAAGACCUCAGGGGUGAAAUGGAAAAGAGUGCAAAAACUCACUGGAGUCGGUAAUUACUUAAAAGUUAGAAUUGGGCAAAUGGAAUCUACUGAUCCCAGGAGACAUCAAGAAAUAAUAAAACAAAAUCAAGUGAAUAAAAAAAGAAAAACAAGAAAAUGUGAACUAUUUCAUUGGAAAAAACAACUGACCUGGAAAACAGAUUGAGCAGAAAGAAAAAUUUAAUAACUAUUGGAUUACCUGAAAACCAUGACCAAAAAAAGGUCUAUAUCAUAUUUCAAGAAACAAGAGAGGAAAAUUGGCCAGUAUCUCAGAUCCAGAGGAUAAAAUAGAAAGAGAAAUAAUCCACUAUCGACCCCAAAAUACAAACUUCCAGGAAUAUUAUGACCAAAUUCAAGCUCACAUGUCAAGGAGAAAAUAAAACAAGCAACCAGAAAGAAACAAUUCAAAAAUUGCGGCGCCACAGUCAGGAUCACACAAGAUUUAGCAGCUUCUACUUUAAAAUGCAGAGGGCUUGACAUGGGAUAUUCCAGAAAGUAAAAGAGCUCCGAUUACGACCAGGAAUCACCUAUUCAGUAUAAUCCUUCAGGGGAAAAAAUGGAUAUUUACUAAAAUAGAGACUUUCAAGAAUUCCUGAUGAAAAGAGUAGAGCUGAAUACAAAAUCCGGCAUUCAAAUAUAUCUCAAGAGAAGCAUUAAAAAAAGAAAACCGGAAAGAAAAAUCAUAAGAGAUUCAAUAAGGUUAACUCAUUUAACAUUCUUACAUAGCAACUUUGUAACUCCUAGCAACUAUAAUUAUUAGAGCAAUUAAGAGUUUAUAUGGACAGAAAGCACGGAUACCUC